AUGUCUAGUAACUCAGCACUCAGCUGCAACUUCUGUGCCACCCUGCGCCGCCCAGGAGACAAGAUGAAAUUGCUAGUAUGUGAGAUUUGUGACAGCCUCUGCACGCCAGGACUUCUCGCGUCUUUAUCAUCAGGGACACAACUUAGACCAGUUUCUGCUGUGUGGAACCUUCAUGGACAUAUGAUCCCUGUGGAGACAUGGCUCUGGUUUUGUUGUUUUUAACACAUUCCAUUUUGAAUCAUAAGCUAUUUGAGCUGGACAGGAGACUAUUAAAGACCUAUUCGGUCUCCUGAUCUAUAAACUGAAUUCCACUGAGCCCUGGAAGUCAUCCAAAGUGCUCAGGGCCACUCUAAUUUUACCUCUUCUCUAUAUGCAACCACCCCACGGGUGUCUGCAAGGGACAGCAAAACCUGCAGAUGCCCAAAUCGCUCGCAGAAAACACUGUAGUGUCGGCAAACAUUCCAGAAAGAAGGAACUUUUCUAAAGUCAUGGACAUUUGAAGAAUGACAAAAAAAAAAACAUUAAACAAUUUUGAACGGUUAAAAAUGUAACCCUUUUCUUAACACAAAACAAACAAUAAAGCCAAUUUUUACCUGGAUUGGAUCUAGACAAUGUAAAAGUGACACAGUAGGUGGCGCUCUUGAGCAGAAGAGAAAGAACUUGGGUUUCCUGCCUGUGAAGCGGGGUUCUUCUGGGCAGCCUCCAGGGGCUGUGCCGUCCCGGCCCCUGGGGGGUUCUGGGGGAGGAGCCACAUUUCUUACCAUACCCCUCCAGUCCUGGCUGGUUGGUACUCAGACCUCAUUGGCUCCGAGAACCCACCUGUGGAGAGUCUUCAAAACACAAUUUCCCACGAAGUCUGAAAGAAAUAAAUCCAAUUAUCAAGCAAACUGUUGAGUUUAUUUCCAUUUUUCCAUAUGAACAAAUACAUGUGGACAUUGGGAUGGGACUCUUCCUAAGCUGCUCCCAAACUCCAGGUUCUGAGCUCUCCUCUCUCCACACAAGAAGCUGCCAAUGUCUGGAAACAUUCCACGUAUCCAAAUCCUCAAAAAAUGUCAACAGUAGAAGGAAUUUCCUUCCUUAAAAAUAUUUUGUUUUCUUUACGGGUCUAAGUCUGUGCUGUAUGGAAAUGUGCACACAUGAGUGCUGGUAACUGUGGAGCCAGAAGGUGGCCUUGGGUCCCCUGGAACUGGAGUUACCGGCAGUUGUGAGCUGAUUGGUGGGUCCUGGGAACUGAACUCAGGUCUUCUGCAGGAGCAGUAAGGGCUCUUAACCUCAUAGCCACCUCUCCAGCAAUGCAUAUUUGGUGAUGUGGCGACUACACCACACAGAGGACUGACUUUUUCUCAACAGCUCUUCAAGGUGCUUGUUGAUAGCGCCGUUUCAUUCAUGAUGAAACAGGUGUGACCUUCUGAGAUCACACCAUGAAAGAUCUCAAUAGUUUAUAGCCCAAACUUGGCCUAU
Molecule: long non-coding RNA, 1461 nt
Filed under: Cricetulus griseus (Chinese hamster)
Lineage: Eukaryota; Metazoa; Chordata; Mammalia; Rodentia; Cricetidae
Description: lncRNA (ENSCGRG00000026452.1)
Source: RNAcentral